Long non-coding RNA from Erinaceus europaeus (western European hedgehog), 254 nucleotides. RefSeq lists it as uncharacterized. The transcript has 3 exons. NCBI's taxonomy places the organism in Eukaryota, Metazoa, Chordata, Mammalia, Eulipotyphla, Erinaceidae. The record is from RefSeq and is a predicted model, not a curated record.
UCAGGCAGAGGAGCAGCAGGAAGGAUCAGGGAACUCUGAAGAUUCAGUUUAUUGAGGAAAUUGUGGAUCAACAGGGCUGUUGUCACAGGGGCACAUACCUACAUGUCUGCCAGGAGAGAUCUGUGGGGAUCACAAGUUUGCUGAAAGAACACGAGUAUUGAAUAGCUGUCUUCCUAUACUGUUUGCCUGCCCAGGAGAACCUCAGCUCCCCUGCACUGUCCUGGAAUCACCAUUAAUCUAUCAAAGAAGGCCAA